RNAcentral lists this ribosomal RNA (374 nucleotides) under uncultured organism. RNAcentral's name for it is "partial 16S ribosomal RNA". It matches the Rfam family "Bacterial small subunit ribosomal RNA", at positions 527 to 896 of the family's 1533-position model. The record is from RNAcentral.
GUAGGUGGCAAGCGUUGUCCGGAAUUAUUGGGGCGUAAAGCGCGCGCAGGCGGUUCUUUAAGUCUGAUGUGAAAGCCCACGGGCUCAACCGUGGAGGGUCAUUGGAAACUGGAGAACUUGAGUACAGAAGAGGAAAGCGGAAUUCCACGUGUAGCGGUGAAAUGCGUAGAGAUGUGGAGGAACACCAGUGGCGAAGGUGGCUUUCUGGUCUGUAACUGACGCUGAGGCGCGAAAGCGUGGGGAGCAAACAGGAUUAGAUACCCUGGUAGUCCACGCCGUAAACGAUGAGUGCUAAGUGUUAGGGGGUUUCCGCCCCUUAGUGCUGCAGCUAACGCAUUAAGCACUCCGCCUGGGGAGUACGGCCGCAAAGGCUG